This 76-nucleotide transfer RNA is filed under the name Oscillibacter sp. CAG:241. RNAcentral's name for it is "transfer RNA-Thr(GGT)". It matches the Rfam family "tRNA". Rfam says of the family: Transfer RNA (tRNA) molecules are approximately 80 nucleotides in length. Their secondary structure includes four short double-helical elements and three loops (D, anti-codon, and T loops). The record is from RNAcentral. RNAcentral also lists the same sequence under 18 other names. Lineage: Bacteria; Bacillati; Bacillota; Clostridia; Eubacteriales; Oscillospiraceae.
GCUGCUGUAGCUCAGUCGGUAGAGCGCAUCCUUGGUAAGGAUGAGGUCGGCGGUUCGAAUCCGCCCAGCAGCUCCA